RNAcentral lists this ribosomal RNA (457 nucleotides) under Staphylococcus xylosus. Its description in RNAcentral is "bacterial SSU rRNA". It matches the Rfam family "Bacterial small subunit ribosomal RNA", at positions 35 to 476 of the family's 1533-position model. The record is from RNAcentral. Lineage: Bacteria; Bacillati; Bacillota; Bacilli; Caryophanales; Staphylococcaceae.
GCUGGCGGCGUGCCUAAUACAUGCAAGUCGAGCGAACAGAUAAGGAGCUUGNUCCUUUGACGUUAGCGGCGGACGGGUGAGUAACACNUGGGUAACCUACCUAUAAGACUGGGAUAACUUCGGGAAACCGGAGCUAAUACCGGAUAACAUUUGGAACCGCAUGGUUNUAAAGUGAAANAUGGUUUUGCUAUCACUUAUAGAUGGACCCGCGCCGUAUUAGCUAGUUGGUAAGGUAACGGCUUACCAAGGCGACGAUACGUAGCCGACCUGAGAGGGUGAUCGGCCNCACUGGAACUGAGACACGGUCCAGACUCCCACGGGAGGCAGCAGUAGGGAAUCUUCNUGCAAUGGGCGAAAGCCUGACGGAGCAACGCCGCGUGAGUGAUGAAAGGGUUUACGGCUCGUAANACUNCUGUUAUUAGGGAAGAACAAAUAGUGUAAGUAACUGUGUCACGUG